GUAAGUGUUUGAUUAACUUCCUUUGCUUUUGUUUUGUACAAAGGAAAAGCAGAACCUAAUCCAAAUAAAAAUAAACAAGCUGUUAAAAGGACUGUGUCCUACCCAGAUCCUCCUCCAAAAUAUAACCAUUCAAAAUCCAAUCCAGUUGAAGAUCAACACAAACCAAAUGAAGAUGUUGCAGAUUCUACAAACAAUAAAAAAGAAGAUCAAGUUUUGUGUCAAACACACUUGGAUGAGGCGUGCCUGACUUUGUCUACCCUACAUUAAGUUGUGAUGGCACACUUCAUGACAGUAAACAUCAGUAUCAAGAUGGUGUGAUUGAUCCAUACCCUAGAUUAAGCUGUGACACUGAUGCUGUGGUCACAUAAUGAACAGCCAUCUUACAGACAACCGAAAGAGGCAUAGUAUUGUUUUCUUGUGUAUUGUCAUAAAGAGGAUUUUUUGUAAUCAUACAGUUAUGGUGCUUUUCAUUCAUUAAUGUGUCCUUUCUUACCUUAAAUAACUUAUCAUUCUUU
Misgurnus anguillicaudatus (oriental weatherfish) is the source of this 515-nucleotide non-coding RNA. NCBI's taxonomy places the organism in Eukaryota, Metazoa, Chordata, Actinopteri, Cypriniformes, Cobitidae. The record is from RefSeq and is a predicted model, not a curated record.